GAGGAAUAUUGGUCAAUGGACGGAAGUCUGAACCAGCCAAGUAGCGUGCAGGAUGACGGCCCUCCGGGUUGUAAACUGCUUUAGUUCGGGAAUAACGACGGGGACGUGUCCCCGGAAAGAAUGUACCGAAAGAAUAAGGACCGGCUAAUUCCGUGCCAGCAGCCGCGGUAAUACGGAAGGUCCAGGCGUUAUCCGGAUUUAUUGGGUUUAAAGGGAGCGUAGGCGGACUGUUAAGUCAGCGGUUAAAGAGUGUGGCUCAACCAUACGAUGCCGUUGAAACUGGUGGUCUUGAGUGCACACAGGGAUGCUGGAACUCGUGGUGUAGCGGUGAAAUGCUUAGAUAUCACGAUGAACUCCGAUCGCGAAGGCAGGUGUCCGGGGUGUAACUGACGCUGAGGCUCGAAAGUGUGGGUAUCAAACAGGAUUAGAUACCCUGGUAGUCCACACAGUAAACGAUGAAUACUCGCAGUUUGCGAUACAAUGUAAGCUGCCAAGCGAAAGCAUUAAGUAUUCCACCUGGGGAGUACGCCGGCAACGGUG
Molecule: ribosomal RNA, 540 nt
Filed under: uncultured bacterium
Lineage: Bacteria
Description: bacterial SSU rRNA
Rfam family: Bacterial small subunit ribosomal RNA
Source: RNAcentral